RNAcentral lists this ribosomal RNA (443 nucleotides) under uncultured bacterium. RNAcentral's name for it is "bacterial SSU rRNA". It matches the Rfam family "Bacterial small subunit ribosomal RNA", at positions 29 to 462 of the family's 1533-position model. The record is from RNAcentral.
AACGAACGCUGGCGGCGCGCCUAAUACAUGCAAGUCGAGCGAGAAGGUGUAGCAAUACACUUGUAAAGCGGCGAACGGGUGAGGAAUGCAUGGGUAACCUACCCUCGAGUGGGGAAUAACUAGCCGAAAGGUUAGCUAAUACCGCAUACGUUUCCGGAACUUCGGUUUCGGAAAGAAAGCAAUACCGUGGGUAUUGCGCUCCUGGAUGGGCUCAUGUCCUAUCAGCUUGUUGGUGAGGUAACGGCUCACCAAGGCUUCGACGGGUAGCUGGUCUGAGAGGACGAUCAGCCACACUGGCACUGCGACACGGGCCAGACUCCUACGGGAGGCAGCAGUAAGGAAUAUUGCGCAAUGGACGAAAGUCUGACGCAGCGACGCCGCGUGGGGGAUGAAGGUCUUCGGAUUGUAAACCCCUUUCGGGAGGGAAGAUGGAGUGGGUAACC